This is a long non-coding RNA of Galleria mellonella (greater wax moth), 888 nucleotides long. RefSeq lists it as uncharacterized. The transcript has 2 exons. The record is from RefSeq and is a predicted model, not a curated record. NCBI's taxonomy places the organism in Eukaryota, Metazoa, Arthropoda, Insecta, Lepidoptera, Pyralidae.
CUUUGGCGAAAGCCAUCAGCCAAAAAGUAACAAUUACAAAGUAACAAUAUAAAAUUACAAGACAAAUUACAAAAAUUAUUAUAGUUAUAAAUUAAUUAUAAUAUACUAAGAAAGUAAGUUAAGUAGAAAAGUAUAAGUUACAAUUACAUAUUUAAAUUUCACCAAUUGAUGAAAAAUUUCUUGGUACAAAAUGGUAUGUUUUAGUAGAUCCUGCACUGAAGUAGGAAUAUUUUGACAUUUUAUUAAAUCUUGACAUUGACAAAUAAAAAGUAACCGUUGAAGUGAGAAUUUAGGACAAACAAAAAAAAAUAUGAUCCAAAUUAGAAAAAAUGUUUUGGCAGUAUUUACAGAUAGAAUUAUCCAAUAAAUUAAUACGUUGCAAAUGUGCAGGAAAUUUACAAUGACCUAUCUGCAAUCUACUUAAUAUAGUAUAACCAGACAAUUUACAGAUUUUGUUAGAAUCAAGCCAAGUUUCAUUUAGUAAAAUGAUAUCAAAAUGUGAUGAUCUAUAAUCAUGGGCACCGGCACAUAUGGAACAAACUUGCUUACUUCUGCAGGAACUGCUUCCAUGACCAAAUUUGUAACAAGUGAAGCAUUGGAGUAGAGGUCUAAUGAAUUCACGCACAUCCAGCCAAAUAUGAUCAUACGUUACGUGAUCAGGUCGCUGCGUAGAGAGGAAAGUUACUAAAACUGUAGGAAGAGGAUGAAAACUUCCAUCUUCUUUCUUUUUUUUGAAACGUUUAACACCGAUGACAUCUACAGUAGAUUUUAAGUUAUUUAAGAGAUCUUCCUCAGAUAUUUCAGUAGGAGCUCUUAUAACUCCCUGAGAUUCCAGCUGAUUAUUGGGUAUCCUAGCCUGAAGUUUAUGUUUCUCUAAUAAAUCUUUAU